UGGGGAAUCUUGGACAAUGGGGGCAACCCUGAUCCAGCCAUGCCGCGUGAGUGAUGAAGGCCUUAGGGUCGUAAAGCUCUUUCGCCUGUGAAGAUAAUGACGGUAGCAGGUAAAGAAACCCCGGCUAACUCCGUGCCAGCAGCCGCGGUAAUACGGAGGGGGUUAGCGUUGUUCGGAAUUACUGGGCGUAAAGCGCACGUAGGCGGACCAGAAAGUUGGGGGUGAAAUCCCGGGGGCUCAACCCCGGAACUGCCUCCAAAACUAUUGGUCUAGAGUUCGAGAGAGGUGAGUGGAAUUCCAAGUGUAGAGGUGAAAUUCGUAGAUAUUUGGAGGAACACCAGUGGCGAAGGCGGCUCACUGGCUCGAUACUGACGCUGAGGUGCGAAAGUGUGGGGAGCAAAACAGGAUUAGAUACCCUGGUAGUCCACACCGUAAAACGAUGAAUGCCAGUCGUCGGGUAGCAUGCUAUUCGGUGACACACCUAACGGAUUAAGCAUUCCGCCUGGGGAG
RNAcentral lists this ribosomal RNA (510 nucleotides) under uncultured bacterium. Its description in RNAcentral is "bacterial SSU rRNA". It matches the Rfam family "Bacterial small subunit ribosomal RNA", at positions 355 to 880 of the family's 1533-position model. The record is from RNAcentral.